ACGCACGCUGGCGGCGUGCUUAACACAUGCAAGUCGCACGGAAAGGCCUCUUUCGGGGGGUACUCGAGUGGCUAACGGGUGAGUAACACGUGAGUAACCUGCCCUUGACUUUGGGAUAACUUCAGGAAACUGGGGCUAAUACCGGAUAGGAGCUCCUGCUGCAUGGUGGGGGUUGGAAAGUUUCGGCGGUUGGGGAUGGACUCGCGGCUUAUCAGCUUGUUGGUGGGGUAGUGGCUUACCAAGGCUUUGACGGGUAGCCGGCCUGAGAGGGUGACCGGCCACAUUGGGACUGAGAUACGGCCCAGACUCCUACGGGAGGCAGCAGUGGGGAAUAUUGCACAAUGGGUGGAAGCCUGAUGCAGCAACGCCGUGUGCGGGAUGACGGCCUUCGGGUUGUAAACCGCUUUCGCUCAUGACGAAGCUUUGUGUGACGGUAGUGGGUAAAGAAGCACCGGCUAACUACGUG
Molecule: ribosomal RNA, 466 nt
Filed under: uncultured bacterium
Lineage: Bacteria
Description: partial 16S ribosomal RNA
Rfam family: Bacterial small subunit ribosomal RNA
Source: RNAcentral